RNAcentral lists this long non-coding RNA (4294 nucleotides) under Homo sapiens (human). Its description in RNAcentral is "HSALNT0011595". Lineage: Eukaryota; Metazoa; Chordata; Mammalia; Primates; Hominidae. The record is from RNAcentral.
CAGAGCUAAAUUGGUAUUUUCCCGUUUGCUGCGGCAAAUUUUUAUUAAAGUGUACCCUAUAUUUAUGAUUAUUAAACUUUAGUGUUCGCCAGAAUCGCCUGCAGGCCUCCUUAAAACAAGAUGUCUAAGUCCCCACCCCCACCUCCCCCCCCCCCCCGGAUUUCUGAUUCACUAGGUCUGGAGUGGAGCACAAUACAUUUGCAUUUCUAGCAAGUUCCCAGGUGAUGCUGGUAGAGCACACGCCCAGAACCACCGCCAGGUACACAAGUCACUGGACAAGGUGGGAAGGCAUCUUACUCAAUCAAUGGACCUUAUUCUAAAGCGGGAAGGGCACUGAGAGGAGGGUAUCUCUCAAAUGAGGAGUCUACGACCUGCUUCAGGGGAAGGCCAACAACUUCUUGGAUUUUAUGACCUGCUUCAGGGGAGAAGGACAAGGGAAGUACAGCGCCUACAACAAUGCAAAGGCUAGAAGGAAUGAAGGCAGGGACAUGGAAUGGAGAAUUUCCAUUUCACGGAUCCACAUAAACUGAAAAGGAACAAGAGUCGGUGAGACCAAAGAGCACUGAAGGCCAUGAACCACCACCAUUCUCAACCCCUGGGCCAGGCAAGAAAAGCCACGGUUCCUGGAAGGGAUGACGACAGGCCUUUCCUCUCAUUAAACCUUUUGUACUCCUAACUCCAUCUUACCAUCUGUUUUAUGGAGGACCUAACAGACACAGUGACCAAAGCUACAGGGGCCUCCAGAGGAAACGGUGAGAACCACAGGAGAAAGGGGGUCUUUGCUGCUGACGGCGAGCACCCAAGCCCAAGCUCCCAGUGGUGAUCUCUCACAAGACCACACAGCCGAUUUCCCUGGAGACAGCACAACCUGUUAAGGGCAUCUUCCAUGCCAUUAAGGGCUUACUGAAUUAUUUUCAUCCAUGCCCUUUUAAAAUAUGGUUGGUAGAAAUUUGCCAUUUGAGACUAGAAUCCCAUUCGGAAUCAUGUAAGUCUCUUUUGACUCCACGAGGACAUCUUUCACCCAGUUUUGGGAAAUCUGAGGAAUGGAUUCUUCUACAGACUGAUAAAAUAUCACAAGGUCCAAGAGUUUGUGUGAGAAAGAGGACAUCAAGGUAAAAUUUUUUAAGUGGAUAAAGAUGGAGAAGUAGAAGGAUGUUAUUCAAAAGUGUAGUUUAUGAUUAAGGUUGGUCGUGACAUCAGAAGCCUUUAAUAUCAGGCCCACCCAUCCGGAUUCAUUAAGCAGAUUGUGUCUUAUCUUGCAUUUCUGUUUCCUGAGACUUAAUCAUGGUUUCCUCAGUGAGUAUCAUCCGCUGCCUAAACUUCAUAAGAGGAUGUUUUCUUUUUUGGAAGCUACUACUCAUGGGCUGAAACUGACUUUCAAACCUACAACUUUAAACUAUGUAAUACUUGAUAUGAGCAACUCAUCCCACUCCUUUCAGAUUAUUCCCUAGGAUCAUUUAUUAUGUGCCUACUGCAUGCAAGGCACAGUGGGAAUACAGAUACAAAGAUAAAUAAGAUUGUCUCUGCCCUGAAGAAAACUAUAAUUUCUGUGUGUAGAAAGACACACAACUGACUUUUCUAUCACAGACCAUCCAAGUUCUGACAUAGAGUCACUAGAGGUUUCUGAACAUGAUGGAUGUGAACGUGGUAGACAUACAAUGGAAGGCAAGAAGGUAUCUCAACACAGCAGAACAAGACCCCAUGAGGAGCCCAGAAAAAAAAUAAAGAAGGUUCCUCACUGGUUAGGAAUUCAAAAGCAGUCCUGGCAACCUCAUAGCAUCUUUACCUCAGAAGCAGGCAGCUCUGGUUACUCCACCAUUUUCAGGAACAAGGUUUUUCUCUCCCCCUCUGCUGCAUUUCCUCUGCGGCUCCUGAUCCAUCUGCCUCUACCUUCUUCCUAGCAUCAAAUUUCCUCCCAGGAGACAACAUGAAUGGGUUAAGAAGUACCCAAUGAGGGCUGCUCCAACUGGACAGCAUCUUUGAAACUGGGACCUCACAGAUGGUCAUCACAGGCCCCUGAUGCCUGGGUACCCAGCGACCAACCCCAGUCUAGUCUGUCUAUAGCAACAUAGGUGAAGGGGAGUCUCAGGGGCUGCCUAAAGGGCUCAGAAUGUGGUGAGUACUUAAGACUGCAUGGAUUUUCACUGUUUACAUGAAUAUAGGACAAGUAUUCACAGAACUAUUAGCUAGAUCUGUGAACAAAACAUUAAUAACAUUGUAUGUCCAUGUCUGAACCCCUGAAAUUCCAACAACCACCACCCGCCUACCAACUUGCAGCAAACCGGCUCUCUCCACAGUCUUCCCCAGAUCAGGGAGAAACAAUUCCAUCCUUCCAGUACUCAGACUGUAAAACUGGAUUCAUUCUGAUUCCUCUCUCACACAUCCCACACCUGAUCUGACAGGAAAUCCUAUAAACUCUGCCAUUAAAAUAUAUCCAGAAACAGGCCAGGCACAAUGGCUCAUGCCUCUAAUCCCAGCACUUUGGGAGGUCGAGGCGGGCGGAUCAUGAGGUCAGGAGUUCGAGACCAGCUUGGCCUACAUGGCAAAACCCUGUCUCUACUAAAAAUACAAAAAUUAGCUAGGUGUGGUGAUGCACACCUGUAAUCCCAGCUACUUGGGAGGCUGAGCUAGGAGAAUCACUUGAACCCGGGAGGCACAGGCUGCAGUAAGCCAAGAUCGUGCCACUGCACUCCAGCCUGGGCGACAGAGUAAGACUCUGUCUCAAAAAAAAAAAAUAUAUAUAUAUAUAUAUAUAUGUCCAGUAAUGUGCAACUUUCACAGUCUCCACCAGGAUCAUCACAGUCUAACCACUGCUUCCUCCAGCCUGAACUUACUGCAAGAGGCCACUCACUGGUCUCCAGGCAUCCACUCUUGCUUCCCCCACGCACCCCACCACCAGUGUCUAUUCUCAACAGAGCAGCCAAAAUUGUCCUUUUAAACAUUGGUUGGAUUGUGUCUUCUGUCUGUUCAAAACUCUCCAGUAUGUCCACAUGGAUCUCAAAAUAAAACCAAAGUUCUGGCCAGGCACAGUGGUUCGUGUCUGUAAUCCCAGCACUUUGGGAGGCUGAGAAGGGAGGGUGGCUGGAGCCCAGGAAUUCAAGACCAGCCUGGGCAACAUGGCAAAACCCCAUCUCUCCAAAAAAUACAGAAAUUUGCUAGGCGAGGUGAUGUGUGUUUGUAGUCCCACCUACUCAGGAGGCUGAGGUGGAAGGAUCACUUGAACCCAGGAGGUUGAGGCUGCAAUGAGCUGUGAUCACGUCACUGCACUCCAGCCUGGGUGACAGAAUGAGACUCUGCCAAAAAAAAAAAUUCAAAGUUCUUACCACAGCCUACAAGACCUGCCAUGACCUGGUCCUUCCUACCACCUGUCUCAUCUUUGCACUCUCACUCACUCUGUACCAACCACACUGGCCUCCUGGAUGUUUCUGGAACAUACCAAACAUGCUCUAAUCACCAGUCUUUGCACUGGAUUUUUCUUCAUUCUGGGAUGUUCUUCCCUUGGAACUCCACAGGGCUAACCCCCACAGUUCCUGCACAUCUAUCAAUGAUGUUUAACAAACCACCCCACUUCGCCUCUGCAGUAUUCCCAAUCGCCACACCUGCCCUGUGUGGUAUUUUAUCACAUACCAUGUAAUUAACUUAUUUGCUAUCUUUAGGAAAAGGGUUUUUUUUUAAAUUUUUUGUUUGCAUGUUUUGUUUUCUUUUUGCUUUUGGUAUCUCUUCCCCUGGUAGAAUGAAAGCUCCGUGAGAAAACCUAGACGAAUCUCUGAAACUUAAUGCUCAAUAAAUGUUUGUUGGUGAAUGCCUGAUUUACAGGACAGCUGAAGCAGUUUAUUAAUUUAGAAGAGCUUAUUAAUUUAGAAGUUAUCAACUAUUGUAAAACUUCCACUGCAGUUUGAAGUUUGAUGUGAUGGGUUGAAAAAAACCACAAUUAGCAAAGUGCACUCUCCUUUUUUUCUAUUUAUCUUCUAAUCACCAGUCUGCUCUGAUGCUGAUUGACACACAGAUACUGAUGUGUUGUUUCCCAUAAAUUCACAAGCCAGUGAGUCAGUCCUUCAGGUAAUAAACAGAUGGCUGUCGGCCAGGUGAGAUGAAAAGGCAUGGUUGCCAUCCUCGAGGAAUUUACGUGUAGCAUGCGUGAUUUAUUGCACUAAGGUAUAAAUAUAAGGUAUAAGAAAUAUCUUACUGGUUUGUUGUGGUGGUUUCUUGUGAUUUUUUCUGUCUCUAAAUAAAAUUAAAUCUGCUCCAUUCCCUCUGAACCAAGCUUAGGCUGAGAUUCUCUGCUGUGGGUCCC